GAUGAACGCUGGCGGCGUGCCUAAUACAUGCAAGUCGAGCGAACGGACGAGAAGCUUGCUUCUCUGAUGUUAGCGGCGGACGGGUGAGUAACACGUGGAUAACCUACCUAUAAGACUGGGAUAAGUUCGGGAAACCGGAGCUAAUACCGGAUGAUAUUUUGAACCGCAUGGUUCAAAAGUGAAAGACGGUCUUGCUGUCACUUAUAGAUGGAUCCGCGCUGCAUUAGCUAGUUGGUAAGGUAACGGCUUACCAAGGCAACGAUGCAUAGCCGACCUGAGAGGGUGAUCGGCCACACUGGAACUGAGACACGGUCCAGACUCCUACGGGAGGCAGCAGUAGGGAAUCUUCCGCAAUGGGCGAAAGCCUGACGGAGCAACGCCGCGUGAGUGAUGAAGGUCUUCGGAUCGUAAAACUCUGUUAUUAGGGAAGAACAUAUGUGUAAGUAACUGUGCACAUCUUGACGGUACCUAAUCAGAAAGCCACGGCUAACUACGUG
Molecule: ribosomal RNA, 497 nt
Filed under: uncultured bacterium
Lineage: Bacteria
Description: partial 16S ribosomal RNA
Rfam family: Bacterial small subunit ribosomal RNA
Source: RNAcentral